This 793-nucleotide ribosomal RNA is filed under the name uncultured bacterium. RNAcentral's name for it is "bacterial SSU rRNA". It matches the Rfam family "Bacterial small subunit ribosomal RNA", at positions 8 to 796 of the family's 1533-position model. The record is from RNAcentral.
AGAGUUUGAUCAUGGCUCAGAUUGAACGCUGGCGGCAGGCCUAACACAUGCAAGUCGAGCGGUAGAGAGAAGCUUGCUUCUCUUGAGAGCGGCGGACGGGUGAGUAAUGCCUAGGAAUCUGCCUGGUAGUGGGGGAUAACGUUCGGAAACGGACGCUAAUACCGCAUACGUCCUACGGGAGAAAGCAGGGGACCUUCGGGCCUUGCGCUAUCAGAUGAGCCUAGGUCGGAUUAGCUAGUUGGUGAGGUAAUGGCUCACCAAGGCGACGAUCCGUAACUGGUCUGAGAGGAUGAUCAGUCACACUGGAACUGAGACACGGUCCAGACUCCUACGGGAGGCAGCAGUGGGGAAUAUUGGACAAUGGGCGAAAGCCUGAUCCAGCCAUGCCGCGUGUGUGAAGAAGGUCUUCGGAUUGUAAAGCACUUUAAGUUGGGAGGAAGGGUUGUAGAUUAAUACUCUGCAAUUUUGACGUUACCGACAGAAUAAGCACCGGCUAACUCUGUGCCAGCAGCCGCGGUAAUACAGAGGGUGCAAGCGUUAAUCGGAAUUACUGGGCGUAAAGCGCGCGUAGGUGGUUUGUUAAGUUGGAUGUGAAAUCCCCGGGCUCAACCUGGGAACCGCAUUCAAAACUGACUGACUAGAGUAUGGUAGAGGGUGGUGGAAUUUCCUGUGUAGCGGUGAAAUGCGUAGAUAUAGGAAGGAACACCAGUGGCGAAGGCGACCACCUGGACUAAUACUGACACUGAGGUGCGAAAGCGUGGGGAGCAAACAGGAUUAGAUACCCUGGUAGUCC